ACCGGCGGCUCGAGUGGUGGCCACUAUUACUGGGCUUAAAGCGUUCGUAGCUGGCUUGUUAAGUCUCUGGGGAAAUCUUCCGGCUCAACCGGAAGGCGUCUCAGGGAUACUGGCAGGCUAGGGACCGGAAGAGGUGAGAGGUACUCCAGGGGUAGGGGUGAAAGCCUGUGACCCCGGGGGGGAGACCUGUGGCGAAGGCGACUCACCCGGACGACUCCGACAGUGAGGAACGAAAGCUGGGGGAGCAAACCG
RNAcentral lists this ribosomal RNA (252 nucleotides) under uncultured prokaryote. Its description in RNAcentral is "partial 16S rRNA". It matches the Rfam family "Archaeal small subunit ribosomal RNA", at positions 475 to 726 of the family's 1478-position model. The record is from RNAcentral.